Molecule: ribosomal RNA, 460 nt
Filed under: uncultured bacterium
Lineage: Bacteria
Description: partial 16S ribosomal RNA
Rfam family: Bacterial small subunit ribosomal RNA
Source: RNAcentral
CCUACGGGAGGCAGCAAUGAGGAAUAUUGGUCAAUGGACGAGAGUCUGAACCAGCCAAGUAGCGUGAAGGAUGACUGCCCUAUGGGUUGUAAACUUCUUUUAUAUGGGAAUAAAAUGUUCCACGUGUGGGAUUUUGUAUGUACCAUAUGAAUAAGGAUCGGCUAACUCCGUGCCAGCAGCCGCGGUAAUACGGAGGAUCCGAGCGUUAUCCGGAUUUAUUGGGUUUAAAGGGAGCGUAGGUGGAUUGUUAAGUCAGUUGUUAAAGUUUGCGGCUCAACCGUAAAAUGGCAGUUGAAACUGGCAGUCUUGAGUACAGUAGAGGUGGGUGGAAUUCGUGGUGUAGCGGUGAAAUGCUUAGAUAUCACGAAGAACUCCGAUUGCGAAGGCAGCUCACUGGACUGCAACUGACACUGAGGCUCGAAAGUGUGGGUAUCAAACAGGAUUAGAUACCCGAGUAGUC